GAGUAAUCUGCCCUUCACUUUGGGAUAACCCCCGGAAACGGGGGCUAAUACCGGAUAUGUACUGUCUCGCGCAUGCGGGGUGGUGGAAAGUUUUUUCGGUGGAGGAUGGGCUCGCGGCCUAUCAGCUUGUUGGUGGGGUAAUGGCCUACCAAGGCGACGACGGGUAGCCGGCCUGAGAGGGUGACCGGCCACACUGGGACUGAGACACGGCCCAGACUCCUACGGGAGGCAGCAGUGGGGAAUAUUGGACAAUGGGCGGAAGCCUGAUCCAGCAACGCCGCGUGAGGGAUGACGGCCUUCGGGUUGUAAACCUCUUUCAGUAUCGACGAAGCUCUGGUCUGUGGGAUUGGGGUGACGGUAGGUACAGAAGAAGCACCGGCCAACUACGUGCCAGCAGCCGCGGUAAUACGUAGGGUGCAAGCGUUGUCCGGAAUUAUUGGGCGUAAAGAGCUCGUAGGCGGUUCGUCGCGUCGGGAGUGAAAACUCAGGGCUUAACUCUGAGCUGGCUUCUGAUACGGGCGGGCUAGAGGUAGGUAGGGGAGAACGGAAUUCCUGGUGUAGCGGUGGAAUGCGCAGAUAUCAGGAGGAACACCGGUGGCGAAGGCGGUUCUCUGGGCCUUACCUGACGCUGAGGAGCGAAAGCAUGGGGAGCGAAAGGGA
Molecule: ribosomal RNA, 660 nt
Filed under: uncultured Nocardioidaceae bacterium
Lineage: Bacteria; Bacillati; Actinomycetota; Actinomycetes; Propionibacteriales; Nocardioidaceae
Description: bacterial SSU rRNA
Rfam family: Bacterial small subunit ribosomal RNA
Source: RNAcentral